Non-coding RNA from Elaeis guineensis (African oil palm), 510 nucleotides. The record is from RefSeq and is a predicted model, not a curated record. NCBI's taxonomy places the organism in Eukaryota, Viridiplantae, Streptophyta, Magnoliopsida, Arecales, Arecaceae.
UAAUCAAUGGGCAAAGCCGGGCGACUUACCGGAGGCUCGGAAUCUCUCAAUUAGAAGCGACUUUCUUCUCGUGGAAGCCCGGGAAGUGAUCCGAUAGGGCGGCGAUGCCAAGGCGCGGCGGUGGCGGCCACCCUGUCCGGCGGGAGUCGCUGCUUACGAGGGUGAUAGGCGCAGUGUUCGCCUUCGUCCGCCUGGCCGAGUUCGAGAUCCUCUUCUUUCUCUUCUUCUUCAUCGCGUUCCUCAUUUUUAAAGAUCUGACAUCACGGCCUGAGUACAAUCAGAUCUUGGUGAAAAAGCCGGGUAAUGAUGACUCCUGGCCUUAUUAGGAGGACAGCUACUGCUACAGGUUGAUGAUCAGAACAGACCGAGAUUCUGACACCAAUACAUAGUUUCAUCAUAUGAUGCUGCCUUAAAUUAGUGUUUUCUUUUGAGAUUUCUGAUUACUUCUAUUCGAAAUUUUGUUACAUUAAUUUCAUUUUUAGAGAACAUUUUCCUCUUUAUUUCAUACCA